Molecule: long non-coding RNA, 688 nt
Organism: Mus musculus (house mouse)
Lineage: Eukaryota; Metazoa; Chordata; Mammalia; Rodentia; Muridae
Product: predicted gene, 36347
Exons: 3
Source: RefSeq, a predicted model, not a curated record
GGCAGGCAACACUGGUUGCUACUUCAGUAAUUCCUCCAAGAAGCUCAUUUCCAGCAGAUUCAACAUUUAAAAAGAGAGAAGAACUUGGAUUCACAGAGCCUAUAUAAUUUGUUCACUGUCCUGUGAAGGCAAACAGAAGCUUGAGACUAAGGGUGAGGCAUAGAACCUCUGUGCAUAUGUUAGUACUGAACAGACAUUGCAGUGGCACUCAGACACAGACGUGGGAUGGAAAGAUGUGCAGCAAACUUCACAGGAGCUUGGGAGAUGAGGAGAAUGAGAAAAGAAGUCAGCUGCUCCCGUGUUAAGGAUUCUACACGGCCAAAUGACUGAACUUUAUGGAGAGUUAGGAUGUUGUAGACCAGAGUCAAAUCCCAUCCCUAUCUCUAACCCAUCCUUGAGCUGAGUCCCAUCCCUAUGUCUAACCCAUUCCUGUGAAUAUAAAACAAACAAACAAAAAUGCACUGUAUAUUUGUAGGAAGCCACUAUCUCCCACCAAAUAAAAUCUGAAACCUACAAUAGCAAUGCCCCUUUCUUUGUUCAACAACUAAAAUAUCAUGUAGUUACUUCUACAUGAGAACACGGAUAACCCAAAUCCUCAUUUCCAGGCCCUGGUCUCUCACAUUUGGCUGUAAACUGUUACUCCUCCACGAGAUUUGAGCUGUGGUUUGCUUCAGCAGGUAACUUCCUC